UUAAUUCAUUCAUAAAAAGUAUGCGUCAUCUAUAAAAAAUAUCGAAUUUAAUAAAUACAUAAUAUAUUGAAUCCAAUAAAGAUUUCCUUCAUAAAAACCAGGAUAAUUUAUAUUUUAACCAGUCAUAAAUAACCCACUUUUUGAAAUUACCACAAAAAAAAAUUAUUUUAAAAUAUUACCCAAAAAGACAAAAAACUUAUAUUUCACCACCAUUUAAUACUUUCCGUUAAAUCAAUCGUUUUAAAAAGUAUUUCUUCGAUUUUUGUGCCAAAAACAUGUUUUAUAGAAUUUUAGAUGUUUUGUCCUUUGGGUCUUAUUUGAAGUUAAAAUUUAUAAAAAUUAAUGAAUAUGCCUCAUUUUGCGUACUAAAAAAUACCUCGAUUUGCGUGACACAUGAAAAAUGAAGCAUUGUUUAUAGUUAUUUGUCAAUUUUGACAUCUCUUUGGACAAAAAUGACUCCCAAAACCUUUAAAGAGCAUGUUUUUGUCACGAAAAUCAAAAUCUUACUGCCAGAUAAGACCAUGUUCAAUUGAACAACAACUAGAUUAAUUAAUGUGCACAUGAUGAUGCAGAUUUAAGGAAUGAGAAUGAAUGACCUACAGAAAUGAACAAAGAGGAAAGGGAGGAAGAGAGACAAGAUGAUGACGCAGCAAACCCCAGGAAUAAGGGUAAAAACUACGGGUGACUAUGAGUCCACCAAUCCACUAGGUUAAUAAUUCAAUACAAGUAUAAUGUAGGUUUAGAAUAGAUUUAUAACGUUACUAAUAAUUGCUAGUUGGUAUAAAAUGUAAGGCUUAGUGAUUGUGUGAUGCCCGUGUACAAUGAUUCUUGUCAUAUUUAUAAUAGAAAAUCUUCCUAAGGCACUUCAACGGCUCUUUACCUGAUUCCGUGGAAUCCGGGGUUAGUUGUCAGGCUCUACUCCGAGUUUUAUGCCACAUUCUUCAUGCAUUAUCCGUUGCAGUUUGACUUAUUCUUCGUAAGUAGUUAGCUAUAGCUUACUGGCUCCGAGUCUCAUGGCACUCCUCUUGACUCAUUCAACAUGGAUCUUGCUUCUUGGAAUAUUCCUUGGAAAGACCUUCAUUUGACUUCUUUUGAUUACUUGAAACAAGAUCAUUAACUUCGUGGCAACCUGUAAUCUGCAACCUAGCAACCUGCAGACAUAUGAACAUGUAGUAAUAAUUUAGGCACGACAUAUACAUAUAUAAAAAAGACGAACCAAAUAAAGGAACCAAUGUCAAACACGAGUGGAAGUUCCUGCAAAGGAACUUGGAAAACUGACAAAGCUGAAAGGAACUUGCUGGGCACGUUUUGUUCGUCUAGGUUCAUUGAAUCUAUGAAUUUGGGAAGUCUUGGGGAAUAAUUUACAAGAUCUACAUUAGUUGGAAAAGAUAUAUAUAAAUAAAUAGAAUAUCUUAUCAAUUGGUUAAGAUAUAGAAAGAGAUAAAAUUUCAAAAUCUUAUCUAAUGACUUUCCUUAUCUUUGAAAGAUGACAACUCAUCUCUUAGCCUAUUUAAAGCCACGAAAUUAAAGAAGAGAGACGGAUGCUGGAGAAAAGGGGGACUUCACUCCAAAACCCCUCAAGGGUUAGGAGUCGUUCAUCACUGUUCGUGAUACAUUGUAGCGGAGGAACUCAGAGCAACCUGAGAGGAACUCAGAUCCAAAUCUAAGGAACUUGAUGGAUCCAUGAAGUAAGUCAAAGCCCAUGGAGUUUGGAGAUUGAAGAAAAUUCAAGAAAAUGGCAUUUUAGAGGUAGGCACGGUCGUGCCUCCCUAUUAGGCACGUCCGUGCCUCUGUGCCAGAAGCUGCGCUAAAGGAAGACCCUAGGCACGUCCGUGCCUAGCAGAAGAGGCACGUCCGUGCCUAGGUAAAGAAGCAGGAACGUCCGUGCCUGGAAGACAGAAACUGCAGCAAUUUUGCUACGUGUAGAGGCACGUCCGUGCCUCCUGGGAUUCUUGUGCGCCAAGGCUUAGCCGUUUUUCUAUCUUUUUAGGCUCAUGUAAAUACUUUUUAGCCUUGUUUUUCUUAUGAAUUUUAUUUUUCAUUAAGCCAUAUAUUAUUUUUAUUCUCUCAUUAAGAACUAGUUGUCCAUCUACUUUUCUAAGUUUUGUAAUUCAAGAUUCAAGGUUUCUACCUUCAAUUUUAUUUAAAAUUUGGUA
This is a long non-coding RNA of Chenopodium quinoa (quinoa), 2156 nucleotides long. RefSeq lists it as uncharacterized. The record is from RefSeq and is a predicted model, not a curated record. The transcript has 2 exons. NCBI's taxonomy places the organism in Eukaryota, Viridiplantae, Streptophyta, Magnoliopsida, Caryophyllales, Amaranthaceae.